This 885-nucleotide long non-coding RNA is filed under the name Homo sapiens (human). Its description in RNAcentral is "HSALNT0393191". The record is from RNAcentral. Lineage: Eukaryota; Metazoa; Chordata; Mammalia; Primates; Hominidae.
CGCAGCUGCUCCGUGCCAGGCUUGGAGGACCAGGAGAAGGGGUAGUCACUUGCCACAGCUGGAGGCUGGAGCGUGUGGCACCACGGCUCGCCUCGCUGUGGUGGGUGCUGGCGACAGAGACGGCAGCUCGGCUGGACUGCUCUGUUUUUACCCUUUCUCCGGGCUGUUAUUGUCAUACAAAUUACAUCUUUAUACAUGUUGUGCUGAACAACAAGUCGAUUUGUAGGUGUUUCUUUGUGAAGUUAUCCUCUAAAUCAGGUAAAAAAACUGAGGCUUAGAAACAUUGAAAAAAACUUGCUCAACGUUGCAAAACAAGAAAUUUGUGACACUGGAAUUGACAUCUACAAGGGACUGAUGUAACUAAUUGCUGGAUACAUGUCCCUCAAAGACACAGAAACAGAUCUUGUAUUCUAGUGGAUCUCCGGCACCCAGUGAGGGCCUGAAACAGAGUACAUGUCCAACAAAUAAUUAUUGAAGUAAAGAUUGACAUUUCAGGAGCAGAGAUUAAUAUUCAAAAACAAAGAUGAGAAUUUUGGCAGAAAAGUCAAAAUGAGGUUCCAACGUGGCUCAACAUGGCAGUUGCUGAUCCUGACUUUGCUUAAAAUUUGUCCAGGAAAUGUAUUUGUGGGCCAUCCUACAGAAGUUAUAAUGAAUGGAAAAACGUGAAGAACCUUCUAUUCUCCCAAGGAUAUCGUGAGGGAAUCGUCACUGUAUCUGGAAGCCAGAUGCCAAAGAUGUUCAGUUAUUAUCAAUGUAUCUAUGCAUAAAGGAUUGAAAAUGAUUCUUCAUGCCAUAAUUUAUCUAAAUAUUCAUUCCUUUGGAACACUGUUUUCCACCAAUAGUAACAAGACUUGGAACAAAAUAAAAUAGCAAUAUCAUGUGCAU